UCCUGCCUCCAAAAGUGUCCGUGGACAGCCUGAGGGUCAGUCAUUGACAGUGCGGGGAUGGGAAUAUCAGGAGGUAUUUGCCCUGUGUUUGGAGGGUCAGCCCUCUCCCUCCCAAACCCUGAAGGUUUCGGACA
This is a small nucleolar RNA of Sorex fumeus (smoky shrew), 134 nucleotides long. RefSeq annotates it as small nucleolar RNA SNORA71. NCBI's taxonomy places the organism in Eukaryota, Metazoa, Chordata, Mammalia, Eulipotyphla, Soricidae. The transcript has a single exon. The record is from RefSeq and is a predicted model, not a curated record.